RNAcentral lists this long non-coding RNA (1130 nucleotides) under Salmo salar (Atlantic salmon). RNAcentral's name for it is "lncRNA (ENSSSAG00000108679.1)". Lineage: Eukaryota; Metazoa; Chordata; Actinopteri; Salmoniformes; Salmonidae. The record is from RNAcentral.
AAGUAUGACUACACAAACCAUCAGCUAACAUGAACUAGCUGGCUAGCUCACAAAGGACUUCUCAAUAAUAAAAGGUAACAACAGCCAUUCUGUUAGCCUAUGCUGGUUUUAUUUUUAUUUGCAAGGAAGGAAAAGUGUGUUGUUCAUGAAACUACAGUCAGUGGUUAUCUAGCUAAUUUUCAAUAUUAUCUAGCUAACCACAGAUCUUUGACAUAAACAAUAUAGGGCUUACCUAAUCACACAGCUCCAGCGACAUCUCUUGCGUACAGAGGUCGGAAAACAAUAAAAUGCACAUGUGCUUAUCAGAAUAGUGGAUACAAUCCGGUACAUAGCACAGAAUCAUCCUUGCUUCUGAUCGAUGGAGAUAUCUAAGCUUAGCUAGUUAGUUACAAAGGCCAGGGUAAUUUAAAAAAUGCUAAGGUAGCUAGGUAGAGAAAUACACAAUAUCAAUUAUUUACACAAGAAACUAAAAAGGCUAUAAUAUCUACUUGCUAGGUUUACUUGUUGGUGAGAGUUUGCAUGGAGAAAUGUGGAGGUUUUCCCAACCUGUGCCUUGAGUGAUUACGUCAAAGCUUGUGACAGAUUUGUGGAGUUAUCAAAACAUCAAACCAGGCAGAGACAAGCUAUUUCUGUGGGAUUUGGGAUUUCCAUGAAGCUAUUACAACAUCUAGGUCCUCGCAGUUGUCAUGGUGAUGGGGUGGCUAUUCACUGUGGGGGCGGCCGACCCUUCCUGCCAUCAGAUGAGCACCACCGCACCUCCACAGGUGCUCCCCAAAGCUCCGUCCUACGCCCUCUUCACUGUACGUUGUGAGGGGGAACACUGCACUGGAGAAUUACGUGAGGUGCCACCACCAGCAAGCCAGCAAUUGAUCCACCCUGGAAUUCAUUAACCUGCGUCCUCCCACAGCCCUUCUGUUCCGAGGACACAGAUUUAUUGGUAGAUGAUACACUUUGUUUUAGUCAUCUCCACCUAAGAGCAUAUAUUAGUCAUGCAGCACCCUAGUCUGUUAAGUGCUUUAGUAAACACUCGGAUACUCUGCAAAGUGUCAAGCAACCCUCUAAUUGAACUUUUUCAUGUCUUUGCACCAAUAAAUUAAUCUGACACAUUUGCCUUUUAGAUUUGGAAUGGG